Molecule: ribosomal RNA, 506 nt
Filed under: uncultured bacterium
Lineage: Bacteria
Description: bacterial SSU rRNA
Rfam family: Bacterial small subunit ribosomal RNA
Source: RNAcentral
GAGUUUGAUCCUGGCUCAGGACGAACGCUGGCGGCGCGCCUAACACAUGCAAGUCGAACGGAGCUGAGAGGAGCUUGCUUUUCUUAGCUUAGUGGCGAACGGGUGAGUAACGCGUGAGUAACCUGCCCUGGAGUGGGGGACAACAGUUGGAAACGACUGCUAAUACCGCAUAAGCCCACGGGUCGGCAUCGACCAGAGGGAAAAGGAGCAAUCCGCUUUGAGAUGGCCUCGCGUCCGAUUAGCUAGUUGGUGAGGUAAUGGCCCACCAAGCCGACGAUCAGUAGCCGACCUGAGAGGGUGACCGGCCACAUUGGGACUGAGACACGGCCCAAACUCCUACGGGAGGCAGCAGUGGGGAAUAUUGCACAAUGGGGGAAACCCUGAUGCAGCGACGCCGCGUGAAGGAAGAAGUAUCUCGGUAUGUAAACUUCUAUCAGCAGGGAAGAUAAUGACGGUACCUGACUAAGAAGCCCCGGCUAACUACGUGCCAGCCGCCGCGGUAAUAC